This 440-nucleotide ribosomal RNA is filed under the name uncultured bacterium. RNAcentral describes it as "partial 16S ribosomal RNA". It matches the Rfam family "Bacterial small subunit ribosomal RNA", at positions 338 to 795 of the family's 1533-position model. The record is from RNAcentral.
CCUACGGGGGGCAGCAGUAGGGAAUAUUGCUCAAUGGGGGAAACCCUGAAGCAGCAAAGCCGCGUGGAGGAUGAAGGUUUUAGGAUUGUAAACUCCUUUUGUGAGAGAAGAUAAUGACGGUAUCUCACGAAUAAGCACUGGCUAACUCCGUGCCAGCAGCCGCGGUAAUACGAAACGUGCAAGCGUUACUCGGAAUCACUGGGCGUCAAGAGUGCGCAGGCGGGCUUGUAAGUCAGAUGUGAAAUCCUGUAGCUUAACUACGGAACUGCAUUUGAAACUAUGGAUCUAGAGUGUGGGAGAGGUAGGUGGAAUUCCUGGUGUAGGGGUAAAAUCCGUAGAUAUCAAGAGGAAUACUCGUGGCGAAGGCGACCUACUGGAACAUUACUGACGCUGAUGCACGAAAGCGUGGGGAGCAAACAGGAUUAGAUACCCCUGUAGUC